This 73-nucleotide transfer RNA is filed under the name Osteochilus salsburyi. RNAcentral's name for it is "tRNA-Pro". It matches the Rfam family "tRNA". Rfam says of the family: Transfer RNA (tRNA) molecules are approximately 80 nucleotides in length. The record is from RNAcentral. Lineage: Eukaryota; Metazoa; Chordata; Actinopteri; Cypriniformes; Cyprinidae.
CCCAGAAAAUAGUUUUAAUUUUAAGAAUUCUGGCUUUGGGAGCCAGGGGUGGGAGUUGAAGUCUCCUUUUUCU